This 253-nucleotide ribosomal RNA is filed under the name uncultured bacterium. RNAcentral's name for it is "partial 16S ribosomal RNA". It matches the Rfam family "Bacterial small subunit ribosomal RNA", at positions 524 to 776 of the family's 1533-position model. The record is from RNAcentral.
UACAGAGGGGGCAAGCGUUGUUCGGAAUUACUGGGCGUAAAGGGCGCGUAGGCGGCCUGCUAAGUCGAACGUGAAAUCCCCGGGCUCAACCCGGGGACUGCGUCCGAUACUGGCAGGCUUGAAUUCGGGAGAGGGAUGCGGAAUUCCAGGUGUAGCGGUGAAAUGCGUAGAUAUCUGGAGGAACACCGGUGGCGAAGGCGGCAUCCUGGACCGAAAUUGACGCUGAGGCGCGAAAGCCAGGGGAGCAAACGGG